RNAcentral lists this ribosomal RNA (492 nucleotides) under uncultured bacterium. RNAcentral's name for it is "partial 16S ribosomal RNA". It matches the Rfam family "Bacterial small subunit ribosomal RNA", at positions 29 to 507 of the family's 1533-position model. The record is from RNAcentral.
AGUGAACGCUGGCGGUAGGCCUAACACAUGCAAGUCGAACGGCAGCACAGUAAGAGCUUGCUCUUACGGGUGGCGAGUGGCGGACGGGUGAGGAAUACAUCGGAAUCUACUUUUUCGUGGGGGAUAACGUAGGGAAACUUACGCUAAUACCGCAUACGACCUACGGGUGAAAGCAGGGGAUCUUCGGACCUUGCGCGAUUGAAUGAGCCGAUGUCGGAUUAGCUAGUUGGCGGGGUAAAGGCCCACCAAGGCGACGAUCCGUAGCUGGUGUGAGAGGAUGAUCGGCCACACGGGAACUGAGACACGGUCCAGACUCCUACGGGAGGCAGCAGUGGGGAAUAUUGGACAAUGGGCGCAAGCCUGAUCCAGCCAUACCGCGUGGGUGAAGAAGGCCUUCGGGUUGUAAAGCCCUUUUGUUGGGAAAGAAAAGCAGCAGGUUAAUACCCCGCUGUUCUGACGGUACCCAAAGAAUAAGCACCGGCUAACUUCGUG